This 45-nucleotide non-coding RNA is filed under the name Schistosoma bovis. RNAcentral also lists the same sequence under 1 other name. Lineage: Eukaryota; Metazoa; Platyhelminthes; Trematoda; Strigeidida; Schistosomatidae. The record is from RNAcentral.
AUCCAGCUGACGAGUCCCAAAUAAUAAGAAACGCUCGUCCUGGAU